CACAAGCUGUUUCAGCCCCAGCUGUUGCAAGCAGGAUGAGCAAGCCAGAAUAUUCACCUGGCCAUCCACUCCAGUAGUGACAAGAAUUCCCGUCUUCUUCCCUUUCACUCUGCACUGGGAAGUAUGAGAAGAUGAUCAGAAGAGGAGCAGAAAGUACUCCAUUAUCCAGCACCAACCAUCUGAAGACUUUGGUGUCAGGCCCCUCUUCUGUAAGGCUGCUGCUGUUGGCUGGGGUUCCAUUCCAGGCCCUAUUUGCCUGGUCCUUCCCGCACUUGAAGGUGUCACGCAUGGAGGCUGCAGAACAGCACAGAUGGCUGCCUGCUCCUUCCUCUGGGAUCUCUGUCCACACAGAGCACUGACCUGAUGCCAGUGGAAACACUACUGUGUAAGGUACAUUGGGGGUUCUCACCCAGUUAAGGGGCACGAGAUUCAGGACUCGCUUAAUGAAGCACUCUGGCUCCCCCUUGGUGGACGGGUUGUGCUGUUCUGGGGGGAAUUCCACUCAUUUGGGCUGCCCAGAUUCCUCAGAUCCAGCAGGGGGAAAGACGAAGUCUGCUGAUCUGUAGAGACCAUGGCCACGCUUCCCUAAAGGGGCUCAGUCCCAUGGAGAUCAGAGUUUUGUCCCUAAACCCCUGGCUGGAGUUCUGAAAUCCCUGCAGGGAGGCCCUGUCCGGUGAGGAGGAAUGGGUCAGGGUCCAGCCUAAGGAGGCAGUGUGGCCAUGAUCUCCCACAGCUGCUGUGCUGCGCUCGUGGGGAAUUCCUCCUGGGUCCAAACCGUCCAGUCCCCCUGGCACCAGCAGGAAAAACAUGGCAGACUGGAGCUGCAGUGAUGGCUGCUGCCCCUCUCCCCAGGAACUCAGUCAUCUUAGGCAGCAGGCAGCAUAGUGAUGGCAGACACCCCUCCCCCUGGGGACUUGGUAGUCUUAGGGAGCAUCCAGCAGAGCAGCUACCGGGAAUCGGCACAGCUUUGUGCUUGGGACCCAAGGCCUUGGUGGUGUGGACUCACAAGGGAGAUCUCCUAAUCCACAGGUUGUACAGAUCUAUGGAAAAGCCAAGCUGCCCUGACAGGGUAGCACAACCUCUCACUGCCUCCCUUGGCUGCCAGUAGGAGCUCCCCUUUCCCUCUGUGGAUCUCAGGCAAAAGAAGAUAAUGCUCUUUCUGGUGACCAAUCACUCAGUUGGAUAACUUGAGUUGACAUAUGGAUACCAUGCCAGAAAAGGACUCUAACUUCAGAAAUCAAAACCAACUGGGACUAUUAGGUGAUGUAACAGCAGUAACUGAGUCUCCUUAAUGACCAAGUAGGGACUGGGAGGCAAGUAUAUUUGGUAUGCAAAUAGAUUAUUUCUUCUGGGGCCUAUGUAUCAAUACAAUCAGUACAUACAAUGCAUAUAUAUGUCACUCACAGGUUAUAAGUUAUUUCUAAUUUAUAAUCAGAUAUCAAUUAUAUCAAUUCUAUUUUCCCUUCAAGGAGCAAAUGUACAAGUUUUAAAACAAAGUAAGGCUGGUGCUGUUUUCUAUUUAUGUUAUUUCUUUCUUUAUUUUGUUAUGUGAUUGAUUGGCUUUUUUGCCCUGGGUCUUUAUGGCUGUGGACCCAGGAAAUGCAUAAAAUGAUGCCCUUGAUAGGUGAAUCUAUGUUAAGCUGCUGUGAGACAUGCCUGGUCACUCAAGCUGUGCUGUAUUCCAAUAGAACUUUGGUGAAAAUUUCCUCAUUUAAAAAGUCUUAUGUACCAUAUUGUGGUAAUAUCCAGGUCAAUGUGAAAGUUAAACAGCAAAACUUAUUAAAAAGUGGAAACCUUUUAUGGCUAUUUGCUGGUUUGUAGCAUUUUAAUUUUUCCCCUUUUCUUUUUCUAAAUAGGUGGCAAGAUAUAUUGCAUCCAAGCUGAGAACUUAAGAAAACUACCCAUAAUGACAUCACAAUUAUAUGUGUUGCUUCAAUUAUUAGUUUACUCAAUCACCAGUUCCCAGAAGAUAUUAUUGAAAGGGUUACAUUAUUGAAAUGCUAAACAAAGGUGGUACUUGGUACCAUAUGUACUUGAGAAAACAAAAUCUGACUGGUAGGAAAUUUUUAUGCGUGCCAUUCCUCUUUGAACUUGACAUUAGGUCUGUUUGUUACACAAGAAUAUAUCUGAGUCCUGUCUGAGAUAAAGGAUACUACUCUGAAGAUGCAAAGAAUAUGUGGACCUUAAGCUGGCCUUACAAUACUCUUUUCUUGUUUUAACGUAUUGCAAGUCAAAUUUAGCCUGACAUUUUAUCAGAUUGUUUAAUUUCAGGAAUAUGCAUCCAAUCAUUCUGAUGGCUCUUUCUUUAAAAUUCUCCAUGAUUUUUUCUUUUUUUUUUAAAUUAAGUUGGCAGAACAGAGAUCCAACCCUUAUUUUCAGUAAAAUCAAAGCAAUUGCUGAUUAGAAAAAAGGGAAGAAACAUUCAAACCUCAUGAUGAUAGAUGAUAUUACCAACCUUGAGCUUCAUAUAGUUACCCCCUAAGUUCCUUAGCAAUGGAUAGAUUGAAGCAUCCUUUAAAUCCCGUUCCCUUUUCUAGUUUGAGUAAUUGUUACAAUGAGAUUGCCUAGCGUAUUUGUCUCCAGAAGUCACAUGUACCAUAUCUUCAGGCAUCAAAACCUUGGUUUGCAUAUGCAAAAUGUCCCAAAUUUGAUAUAGUUCAGAAUCACAUACAAAAGUUAUGAGGCCCUAGUGUAAAACUUCUGGAAUGGUGGAAUGAAAAUCUUUAUAAAUCAGCUCCUCAUAAAGCAAUUAAAUUUCUGGCAACAUUGUCAAAAUCAAAAUUUUCACAACUCAGGAAAUUAAAAACAAAAUCAAUAGACACUGUCUCAGCAGGCAUCCAGAUGCUGGACUUAGUAUACAAGACUUUACAUUUGACUCUUAUAAAUAUGUUUGAAGAGCUAAGAAAACAUUGCCUAAAAUAUGACAAUGAUGUCUCACCAAAAAGAGAAUCCUGGUUAAGAGACAGAAAUUUGUAAAAGAACCAAAUAUGCAUUCUUGAAAAAUGAGGCAUUACCAAUCUUAUAAAAAUAAAAUGAAUUAUAACAAAAUAAUAUGACACAUCAAAAUCAUCACUAUCCAAAGACAAAUACAAAGAGAGGAUUUUGAAAGCAGCAAAAGUGGAGACUCAUCACAGACAAGAGAUCCUUAAUAUGAUUAGCAGGUAUUUAUAACCAGAAACCAUGAAGGCUGUAAGGAAGUGGGAAAACAUAUUUAAAAUGAAGAAAAAUUUUAAAAAUCAGGAAUUCUCUACUCAGCUAUUAUCCUUGGAAAAUGAAACAAAAUUAUCCUUGGAAAAUGAAACAGAAAUUAAGACAUUCCUGCCACUAACAGAUAUUCCCUACAGGAAAUACUAGUGGGAUCUCAUCAAGCCAACAUGAAAGUAUGCCUGAAUCCAAAUGAUAAAAUUAAGCAUAUCAGUGUGGCAGGCUGAAUAAUAGCCCCUAAAGAUAUCAAUUUCUUAACCCCUAGAACCUGUAAAUGUCGCUCUAUUUGACAAAAGGACUUUGCAAUGUGUUUAAAUAAAGAAUCUUGAGAUGGAAAAAGUAUACUAGAUUACUAGGUAGGCUCUAAUUAUAAUCACAAGUAUUUUUAUAAGAGGCUCUAAUUAUAAUCACAAGUAUUUUAUAAGGAAGACUCGACUACAUAGGCUGAGAAGGCAAUGCGAUGAUGGAAAACAGAUUGGAAUGAUGCGCUACGAAGACAAAGGAAGAGGCCACAAGCCAAGAAAUAGGGUGGGCCACUAGAAGCUGAAAAACUCAAGGAAAAAGAUUCUCACCUCAGAGCCACUAGAAAGAACUGGGCCUGCCAAGAAAUGUACUUUGGCCAGGGAAACUGACUUCAAGCUUCUGAUCUCCAGAAAUGGGAUAGAACAAAUGUAUGUUGUUUUAGGCCACCAACUUUGUGGCAAUUUCUUGCAGGUCAAUAUAGAUAAAUAUAAAGGAGAGUAAGUAUAAAUAUAUAUUUGUAACUCUUCUGUCCGAUUUAAAAGGUAGCUGUAUAAAGCAAUAACUAUAAAAACUCUGUUGGGUUCUACUGUAUAAAAUUGCAAUAUGUAUUACAGAAACAGCACUAAGGAAAUUGAAAGGAAUGGGGCUAUAUGGAAAAAAUUCUGUAUACUACUGAAAUUAAAUUAGUAAUAAAACUAGAUUUUUUUUUGUUAAGAUGCUAAUUGUAAUACCCAAGGCAACGACUAGGAAAAUAACUAAAAUAUACAGAAUUAAAGAAACAACAACAUAAUUAAAAUAGUAAACUAGAACAUACCUAGUUGACAUUCAAAAAUUCAGUAGUGUAGAAAUGGAGAAACAAAAAAGGCAGGACAUAUAGAAAACAAUCGGAAAAUAGAAGACAUGAGUCCUAAUUUAUCAGUAAUUAUAUUAAAUUAUCUCAUUGUUUCUUUUAUUCAUAUUUUUAAUUAUUAUCUUAGUGGCUGCCUUGAAUAUUAUAAUUAGUAUCUAUAUAUCACCACAUGAAGUAAAUCUAAAUUAAUGUUGACUGUACAAAAUACUCUUACUGUCCUAUCAGGUUUAAAAUACACAUAAAAAUAAAAUAUGUCACAAGAACACCACAGGUGAUGGUGAAAUGAAAUAAAAAUAUUUUAGUAUCUCAGUAUUGCCUGAGGUAAUAAAAGAAUAAAGUUUAGGUUUCCACUUGGGGAAACAUAAUGAUAUAAUUUCUGGGGUAUUUUUGAAAGAAAUUUUUUUAAAGUAUAAAUAAUCUGCAAAUAGAAAAGAUAAUGGAUUAGCAAAAAAAAAAUACUUCAUUAAUCUAAUAUGAGACAAGAAAGGAGACAAAAAGGGGAAUAAUGGGACAAAUAAAAAGUAAUAAAUGGUAGAUAUGUAACCAAAUAGAUCGAUGAUUACAUAACAUGUAUACGAACUAUUUUACUAAAAAGAAAAUCAUUAGACUACAUAAAGUAUAAAACUCAACAAUAUGAUGCUUACAAGAGACAUCAUUAAUUAAAAGGCAGAAAUGUUUUGAAAUAAAAUCUAUGGAAAAAGAACAAAACAUACCAUUCAAACACUGACCAAAAGACAAAACCGAUUUCAAGGUAAG
This 5053-nucleotide long non-coding RNA is filed under the name Homo sapiens (human). RNAcentral describes it as "HSALNT0359859". Lineage: Eukaryota; Metazoa; Chordata; Mammalia; Primates; Hominidae. The record is from RNAcentral.